Molecule: long non-coding RNA, 3324 nt
Filed under: Brassica napus (rape)
Lineage: Eukaryota; Viridiplantae; Streptophyta; Magnoliopsida; Brassicales; Brassicaceae
Description: long non-coding RNA (BNAP_LNC007550)
Source: RNAcentral
GGCAAGUGAAAUGUGUCUUUAAGUGAUAUUAAUAAGUCAAAAUGUGUCUAUCAAUGUAAUUUUUUCUAGUGAACAAUAUUAUUACAUAAGAUCUUGAUAUUAUUAAUAUUAAAUAAUUAUUUUAUAAAUAUUUAAAACUUUAACAAGUAGGGUAAGGUACACCACAAGCCGUGAAGACAUUUUGAGAAUUUUUAAUAAACUGACCAAAUGUUGGAUUUUGUAUGUAACCACAUAGACACGAUUGUUGUUCUUUCAGUUUUCCAAUAUUUAUCAAAGUUGGUAUAUAAAUAUAAAUAUAAAACAUAAUAAAUAGAAACUCACAAAUUUUUGGAUUCAAAACAAAUAAAUUCCAAGAAUAUUUUCUAUAACAUCUAUUUUCGUAAUUGCUACAUACAAUAAAUGCAAAAGAUAAUAUAUAGAAACAAGAUUUUCCGAUUUAACUAAAUUAACUUGAUGACUACGCAUAGAAUAUAUUAUGUUUGACAUGGUAAUUGAAUUUAUAUUAGUAAUAAAUGGAAACUCAUAUAUUUUCGGAUUCAACAAAUUAAUUCCAAGAAUAUUCUCUAUAACAUCCAUUUUCGUAACUGAAUUUAUAUUAGUUACUAUAUAUUCUGUUUGACAUGGUAACUGAAUUUAUAUUAGUUACCAUAUAUUAUGUAAAUCAUGGUAACUGUAUUUAGUUAUUAGUUUUAUAUAAUAAAGAGAGGAUCCCCCAACUUUCUCCUCAAACCGAAGACUCUCGCUUUAAAUUAGGUCGAUAUUAUAAAUAGGCAGCACUAAAUUUAUUAAUUGACUAUAAACAAAUAUAAAAUCUAUUAAAAUAUAGAUUAGACAAAUAUUUAUUAAUUUAAAUAAAAUUUUUAAAAGAAACGAUCCCGCGCUUUGAAAGCGCGGGUCAAAAUCUAGUUAGUAGAAAUUAAAAAAAAAAACUGAAAUUUCAUCACUUUAACAAAAUAGAGAGAAUCAGUGGAGCUACUGCAAAUACUUAGGAAAAUUUAGGUAGAGAUGAAUCUGAAUUUUAUAGAAUCGUUGAGUAAAUUUGCUAUAAAAAAGAUUAACUGUUUUGAAGAUCGUGAAGAGAUCAUGGAGGUAGUGUUAGAAAUAUUAAGGAUUUGCUAUAAAAAAGAUUAACAUUUGGCAUUUCUUUCAUUUAAUUUUAUUUACUGCAUUUGAUUUUUUUAAAAAAUAUAUAAGAAAUGCCAAAUGUUAAAAUUUGAUUGGUUAUGCGACUUGCGCUUUAUUAUAUAAGAGAUUUGCUCAGUUAGAAUCUAUAUAUAUACUAUUAUUUAUAAAGUGAUUUAGCUUAUUUGUCAUAAUUUCCAUGAUUUUAUGUAAUUUUGUUUAUUUGUCAUAUUUUGAUUAGGUUUAAGCUGAGUCAUUAAUUUAUUAAUAGUUUUUAGUUGAGUCCAAAAUUUAUUAAUUUAAAUGAUAUAACUAUAAAUAUGUAAUUAGAUAUAUAAUUAUUUUGAUUUUGCUUAUUUGUCAUGUUUUCUAUGAUUUUAGUUAAUUUUUCUUAUUUGUCAUGUUUUUAUUAGGUUUUAGCUUAGUCAUUGAUUUAUUAAUAAUUUUUAGCUGAAUCACUAAUUUAUUAAUUUUAAAAAAUAUUCGUAAUGAAAUUUAUAUAUAAUUAAAAACGAAUUUUGAUAUAAUAAUAUGUAAAUCUAUAUGUUAUAUUAAUUUUUUUUUAUUUGUCAUAUUUUAUUAGGUUUUAAGCUUUUAUAUAGAUCAUUGACUUAUUAUUAGUUUUUAAUUGAGUAUUUAUUAAUUUUCACAAAACCCGUAAUGAAUUUUAUAUAUAAUAAAACGCACAUUUUAUUUUAAUAAUAUUAAAGUUAUAUGUUAUAUUAAAUAAUUAAUUAUAAACUAAUAUAAUAAAAUUGUGAAAAUAUAUUUAAAAAUUAAGAAAAUUCUUAUAUAUAUAUAUAUUGCGUUGCUAUCUGAAAACAAUAUUUUUAUUAUAAAGUUAAAAAACUAAGAUAUAAAACAGUUUAUAAUUAAAUAUUAGUCAAACAAAAAUAUUUCUAUAAAGAUAUUUUCUAAACUAUUUCUAAUAUAUGAGUGUUUUAAAACUUUUAACACAAUAAUAAGUACAUAGUUUGAUGAACGUUUUUGUGACAUAUAUAAAUAAUUUGAUGUUUGAUUUAACUAUUUAAAAUCAUAAAUAAUAACUUAAAUUGAGACUGAGUUUAAAACAAUUUUUUUUGCUUUUACUUUAAACCAGUUUAAGUUUAAUCCAUAAAACACUAUAGCGUCAGUUGGUCACCACUAGAAAAAUGAAAAAAUAAACAAAAUAAAAAAUAAAAUUUCAUUUGAAGAAUUGAAAAAAUAUUAAAAAUGUUAAUUUUUGUUCAAAUUGUUCCUUAUCAAAAUUGCACACGGAAAUUUUUUUCUUAUAAAUUCAUUCCUCCAUGGAGAAUUUAGAAGAAAAAAAUGGGAUCUACCUUUCAAUAAUUUGAUUAAAAUUUCAACGUAACUGGUAUAAAUUUUAAGGAACAAAGAAUUCACCAUAAUAUUUUCCAUCAACAUGUUCACCAAUUAGAGUUAUAUAAUGCCGAUUUUUGGAUUAGUAAGACAUAAAAUAAUAAGUAUUCGUAAGAUUAUUAUGCCCGCAUGUGUGGGCAAAACACCUAGUAAGAAGUAACGAGAGAGUUUGACAAAAAAAAAACAGGUAACGAAAGAGAGUAGUGUUUCAAGGGCAUAUUGGACAAUGAACAACUCAAAAGUGUGUGGCAAGUGAAAUGUGUCUUUAAGUGAUAUUAAUAAGUCAAAAUGUGUCUAUCAAUGUAAUUUUUUCUAGUGAACAAUAUUAUUACAUAAGAUCUUGAUAUUAUUAAUAUUAAAUAAUUAUUUUAUAAAUAUUUAAAACUUUAACAAGUAGGGUAAGGUACACCACAAGCCUUGAAGACAUUUUGAGCAUUUUUAUAAAACUGACCAAAUACUGGAUUUGAGAUGUAACCACAUAGACACGACUGUUGUUCUUUCAGUUUUUCGCAACAUUCUGCUGACGGCUGACUUCCGAUAAAUGCUGCUACGAAACAUGGGAUAAGUUCUGUUUGGACACACGCCACUUUUAUCUCCUCUUCCACGGCUGCACUGGUCAGAUCCAAAGAUGACACCAGGACUAUCACAAGUGCGAUGCAUAUUGCUCGUGUGAACUUCAUGUUUUAUAACCUUAGUGACUUCUUUUAAACUAGUUCUAAUUAAUUUUUCUCUUGAAAAUUGUUUGAGAUGUUGAUUUUAAGGUCUUGAUGGUGAAGCUAUUAUAUAGAUGAAACUCGAAUAAAGUUUGAAAUAGUAGGCUGGCGUUUUAGGUAGUGUAUUUUG